Molecule: ribosomal RNA, 497 nt
Filed under: uncultured bacterium
Lineage: Bacteria
Description: partial 16S ribosomal RNA
Rfam family: Bacterial small subunit ribosomal RNA
Source: RNAcentral
GAUGAACGCUGGCGGCGUGCCUAAUACAUGCAAGUCGAGCGAACAGAUGAGGAGCUUGCUCCUCUGACGUUAGCGGCGGACGGGUGAGUAACACGUGGAUAACCUACCUAUAAGACUGGGAUAACUUCGGGAAACCGGAGCUAAUACCGGAUAAUAUAUUGAACCGCAUGGUUCAAUAGUGAAAGACGGUUUUGCUGUCACUUAUAGAUGGAUCCGCGCCGCAUUAGCUAGUUGGUAAGGUAACGGCUUACCAAGGCAACGAUGCGUAGCCGACCUGAGAGGGUGAUCGGCCACACUGGAACUGAGACACGGUCCAGACUCCUACGGGAGGCAGCGGUAGGGAAUCUUCCGCAAUGGGCGAAAGCCUGACGGAGCAACGCCGCGUGAGUGAUGAAGGUCUUCGGAUCGUAAAACUCUGUUAUUAGGGAAGAACAAAUGUAUAAGUAACUAUGCACGUCUUGACGGUACCUAAUCAGAAAGCCACGGCUAACUACGUG